GGGAGUGUGGUCUAGUGGUAUGAUACCCGCUUUGGGUGCGGGUGGCCCGGGGUUCAAUUCCCCGCUCUCCCC
RNAcentral lists this transfer RNA (72 nucleotides) under Naumovozyma castellii. Its description in RNAcentral is "tRNA-Pro (TGG) (tRNA-Pro-TGG-1 1 to 10)". It matches the Rfam family "tRNA". From Rfam's summary of the family: Transfer RNA (tRNA) molecules are approximately 80 nucleotides in length. Their secondary structure includes four short double-helical elements and three loops (D, anti-codon, and T loops). Further hydrogen bonds mediate the characteristic L-shaped molecular structure. tRNAs have two regions of fundamental functional importance: the anti-codon, which is responsible for specific mRNA codon recognition, and the 3' end, to which the tRNAs corresponding amino acid is attached (by aminoacyl-tRNA synthetases). tRNAs cope with the degeneracy of the genetic code in two manners: having more than one tRNA (with a specific anti-codon) for a particular amino acid; and 'wobble' base-pairing, i.e. permitting non-standard base-pairing at the 3rd anti-codon position. Lineage: Eukaryota; Fungi; Ascomycota; Saccharomycetes; Saccharomycetales; Saccharomycetaceae. The record is from RNAcentral.